RNAcentral lists this ribosomal RNA (846 nucleotides) under uncultured Bacteroidota bacterium. RNAcentral describes it as "bacterial SSU rRNA". It matches the Rfam family "Bacterial small subunit ribosomal RNA", at positions 55 to 895 of the family's 1533-position model. Lineage: Bacteria; Pseudomonadati; Bacteroidota. The record is from RNAcentral.
AUGCAAGUCGAGGGGCAGCGGGUUGAAAGCUUGCUUUCAAUGCCGGCGACCGGCGCACGGGUGCGUAACGCGUAUCAAACCUGCCUCACACUCGGGGAUAGCCUUGCGAAAGUAAGAUUAAUACCCGAUGUUGUUGCUUUCUCGCAUGGGAGGGUAACCAAAGAUUUAUCGGUAUGAGAUGGUGAUGCGUCCGAUUAGGUAGUAGGCGGGGUAACGGCCCACCUAGCCUUCGAUCGGUAGGGGUUCUGAGAGGAAGGUCCCCCACACUGGAACUGAGACACGGUCCAGACUCCUACGGGAGGCAGCAGUGAGGAAUAUUGGUCAAUGGGCGAGAGCCUGAACCAGCCAAGUAGCGUGCAGGAUGACGGCCCUCCGGGUUGUAAACUGCUUUUAGUUGGGAAUAAAAAAAGGGACUUGUCCCUUCUUGUAUGUACCUUCAGAAAAAGGACCGGCUAAUUCCGUGCCAGCAGCCGCGGUAAUACGGAAGGUCCAGGCGUUAUCCGGAUUUAUUGGGUUUAAAGGGAGCGUAGGCGGAUUGUUAAGUCAGCGGUUAAAGGGUGUGGCUCAACCAUGCAUUGCCGUUGAAACUGGCGAUCUUGAGUGCAGACAGGGAUGCCGGAAUUCGUGGUGUAGCGGUGAAAUGCUUAGAUAUCACGAAGAACUCCGAUCGCGAAGGCAGGUGUCCGGGCUGCAACUGACGCUGAGGCUCGAAAGUGUGGGUAUCAAACAGGAUUAGAUACCCUGGUAGUCCACACAGUAAACGAUGUAUACUCGCGGUUUGCGAUAGAUUGUAAGCCGCCAAGCGAAAGCAUUAAGUAUACCACCUGGGAGUACGCCGGCAACGGU